UACAGAGGGAGCAAGCGUUAAUCGGAAUUACUGGGCGUAAAGCGCACGCAGGCGGUCAUGUAAGUCGGGUGUGAAAUCCCCGGGCUCAACCUGGGAACUGCAUUCGAGACUGCAUGGCUAGAGUACGGUAGAGGAGGGCGGAAUUCCCGGUGUAGCGGUGAAAUGCGUAGAUAUCGGGAGGAACAUCAGUGGCGAAGGCGGCCCUCUGGACCAGUACUGACGCUCAUGUGCGAAAGCGUGGGGAGCAAACAGG
RNAcentral lists this ribosomal RNA (253 nucleotides) under uncultured bacterium. RNAcentral's name for it is "partial 16S ribosomal RNA". It matches the Rfam family "Bacterial small subunit ribosomal RNA", at positions 524 to 776 of the family's 1533-position model. The record is from RNAcentral.